AGGUGGAAGAGGGUAGCAAUAACAGGUCCGUGAUGCCCUUUAGAUGCUCUGGGCUGCACGCGUGCUACAAUGUUAGGAUCAAUAGGACUGCGAGCCUGAGAGGGUGCGCUACUCUUAUAAUCCCUAACGUAGUUGGGAUUGACGUUUGUAAUCAGCGUCAUGAACCAGGAAUCCCUUGUAAAUGUGUGUCAACAACGCACGUUGAAUACGUCCCUGCCCUUUGUACACACCGCCCGUCGCUCCUACCGAUUGGAUGACUCGGUGAAAUCACCGGAUGCUUACGAGCAGAAAGUGAUUAAAUCACGUUAUCUAGAGGAAGGAGAAGUCGUAACAAGGUAACGGUAGGUGAACCUGCCGUUGGAUCAGUU
RNAcentral lists this non-coding RNA (368 nucleotides) under Trichomonas vaginalis G3. RNAcentral's name for it is "Eukaryotic small subunit ribosomal RNA". It matches the Rfam family "Eukaryotic small subunit ribosomal RNA", at positions 1435 to 1831 of the family's 1831-position model. Lineage: Eukaryota; Parabasalia; Trichomonadida; Trichomonadidae. The record is from Rfam by way of RNAcentral.